UACGUAUGUCGCAAGCGUUAUCCGGAAUUAUUGGGCAUAAAGGGCGUCUAGGCGGUUUAUUAAGUCUGAUGUGAAAAUGCGGAGCUCAACUCCGUAUUGCGUUGGAAACUGGUAGACUAGAGUAUUGGAGAGGUAAGCGGAACUACAAGUGUAGAGGUGAAAUUCGUAGAUAUUUGUAGGAAUGCCAAUGGGGAAGCCAGCUUACUGGACAUAUACUGACGCUGAAGCGCGAAAGCUAGGGGAGCAAACAGGAUUAGAUACCCUGGUAGUCCUAGCUGUAAACGAUGAUCACUGGGUGUGGGGGGUCGAACCUCCGUGCCGAAGUUAAUGCGAUAAGUGAUCCGCCUGGGGAGUACGUUCGCAAGAAUG
This 369-nucleotide ribosomal RNA is filed under the name uncultured prokaryote. Its description in RNAcentral is "bacterial SSU rRNA". It matches the Rfam family "Bacterial small subunit ribosomal RNA", at positions 524 to 896 of the family's 1533-position model. The record is from RNAcentral.